Molecule: small nucleolar RNA, 72 nt
Organism: Tachyglossus aculeatus (Australian echidna)
Lineage: Eukaryota; Metazoa; Chordata; Mammalia; Monotremata; Tachyglossidae
Product: small nucleolar RNA SNORD56
Exons: 1
Source: RefSeq, a predicted model, not a curated record
CCGCCGUGAUGGGAUGAUUUUUCGUCAACAGCAGUUCACCCCGUGAGUGUUGACAAGCCUGGGUCUGAGCGG